Molecule: ribosomal RNA, 311 nt
Filed under: uncultured bacterium
Lineage: Bacteria
Description: bacterial SSU rRNA
Rfam family: Bacterial small subunit ribosomal RNA
Source: RNAcentral
CGCAAGACCUCGCGCGAUUGGAGCGGCCGAUAUCAGAUUAGGUAGUUGGUGAGGUAAAGGCUCACCAAGCCAACGAUCUGUAGCUGGUCUGAGAGGACGACCAGCCACACUGGAACUGAGACACGGCCCAGACUCCUACGGGAGGCAGCAGUGGGGAAUUUUGGACAAUGGGCGCAAGCCUGAUCCAGCAAUGCCGCGUGCAGGAUGAAGGCCUUCGGGUUGUAAACUGCUUUUGUACGGAACGAAACGGUGAGCUCUAAUACAGUUUGCUAAUGACGGUACCGUAAGAAUAAGCACCGGCUAACUACGUG